GCUGGCGGCGUGCCUCAUACAUGCAAGUGGAGCGACGAACCAGGCUUCGGCCUGGGGCAAAGCCGCGAACGGGUGAGUAACACGUGGGUAACCUGCCCCGAUGAUUGGGACAACUCGAGGAAACUCGGGCUAAUACCAAAUGUGCUCCUGGCCGUGAUGGCCAGGUGGAAAGGAAGCUUCGGCCUCCGCAUCGGGAUGGGCCCGCGGCCCAUUAGCUAGUUGGUGGGGUAAUGGCCUACCAAGGCGACGAUGGGUAGCUGGUCUGAGAGGACGAUCAGCCACACUGGGACUGAGACACGGCCCAGACUCCUACGGGAGGCAGCAGUAGGGAAUCUUGCGCAAUGCGCGAAAGCGUGACGCAGCAACGCCGCGUGGGGGAAGAAGGCCUUCGGGUUGUAAACCCCUUUCAGUUGGGACGAAGCUCCGUCGGUUAAUAGCCGGCUGGAGUGACGGUACCUUCACAAGAAGCACCGGCUAACUACGUGCCAGCAGCCGCGGUAAUACGUAGGGUGCAAGCGUUGUCCGGAAUCAUUGGGCGUAAAGAGCGUGUAGGCGGCUCGAUCAGUCCGCUGUAAAAGUCCAGGGCUCAACCCUGG
Molecule: ribosomal RNA, 596 nt
Filed under: uncultured soil bacterium
Lineage: Bacteria
Description: bacterial SSU rRNA
Rfam family: Bacterial small subunit ribosomal RNA
Source: RNAcentral